GGGGUUGUGGCUCAUCGGUAGAGCACCCAUCUCUCAUGUGCGAGACCCUGGGUUCGAUCCUCAGCACCA
Non-coding RNA from Ictidomys tridecemlineatus (thirteen-lined ground squirrel), 69 nucleotides. The record is from Rfam. NCBI's taxonomy places the organism in Eukaryota, Metazoa, Chordata, Mammalia, Rodentia, Sciuridae.